AGACCCGAAACCCGGUGAUCUAGCCAUGGGCAGGUUGAAGGUUGGGUAACACUAACUGGAGGACCGAACCGACUAAUGUUGAAAAAUUAGCGGAUGACCUGUGGCUGGGGGUGAAAGGCCAAUCAAACCGGGAGAUAGCUGGUUCUCCCCGAAAGCUAUUUAGGUAGCGCCUCGUGAAUUCAUCUCCGGGGGUAGAGCACUGUUUCGGCUAGGGGGCCAUCCCGGCUUACCAACCCGAUGCAAACUGCGAAUACCGGAGAAUGUUAUCACGGGAGACACACGGCGGGUGCUAACGUCCGUCGUGAAGAGGGAAACAACCCAGACCGCCAGCUAAGGUCCCAAAGUCAUGGUUAAGUGGGAAACGAUGUGGGAAGGCCCAGACAGCCAGGAUGUUGGCUUAGAAGCAGCCAUCAUUUAAAGAAAGCGUAAUAGCUCACUGGUCGAGUCGGCCUGCGCGGAAGAUGUAACGGGGCUAAACCAUGCACCGAAGCUGCGGCAGCGACGCUGAUGCGUUGUUGGGUAGGGGAGCGUUCUGUAAGCCUGUGAAGGUGGCCUGUGAGGGUUGCUGGAGGUAUCAGAAGUGCGAAUGCUGACAUAAGUAACGAUAAAGCGGGUGAAAAGCCCGCUCGCCGGAAGACCAAGGGUUCCUGUCCAACGUUAAUCGGGGCAGGGUGAGUCGACCCCUAAGGCGAGGCCGAAAGGCGUAGUCGAUGGGAAACGGGUUAAUAUUCCCGUACUUGGUGUUACUGCGAAGGGGGGACGGAGAAGGCUAUGUUGGCCGGGCGACGGUUGUCCCGGUUUAAGCGUGUAGGUGUGUGUUCCAGGUAAAUCCGGUUCACUUUAACACUGAGGCGUGACGACGAGGCACUACGGUGCUGAAGCAACAAAUGCCCUGCUUCCAGGAAAAGCCUCUAAGCAUCAGGUAACAUCAAAUCGUACCCCAAACCGACACAGGUGGUCAGGUAGAGAAUACCAAGGCGCUUGAGAGAACUCGGGUGAAGGAACUAGGCAAAAUGGUGCCGUAACU
RNAcentral lists this ribosomal RNA (1027 nucleotides) under Salmonella enterica subsp. enterica serovar Oranienburg. Its description in RNAcentral is "partial 23S ribosomal RNA". It matches the Rfam family "Bacterial large subunit ribosomal RNA", at positions 711 to 1735 of the family's 2925-position model. The record is from RNAcentral. Lineage: Bacteria; Pseudomonadati; Pseudomonadota; Gammaproteobacteria; Enterobacterales; Enterobacteriaceae. RNAcentral also lists the same sequence under 6 other names.